RNAcentral lists this ribosomal RNA (253 nucleotides) under uncultured bacterium. RNAcentral's name for it is "partial 16S ribosomal RNA". It matches the Rfam family "Bacterial small subunit ribosomal RNA", at positions 524 to 776 of the family's 1533-position model. The record is from RNAcentral.
UACAGAGGGGGCAAGCGUUGUUCGGAAUUACUGGGCGUAAAGGGCGCGUAGGUGGCCUUCUAAGUCGAACGUGAAAUCCCUGGGCUCAACCCAGGAACUGCGUCCGAUACUGGAAGGCUUGAAUCCGGGAGAGGGAUGUGGAAUUCCAGGUGUAGCGGUGAAAUGCGUAGAUAUCUGGAGGAACACCGGUGGCGAAGGCGGCAUCCUGGACCGGUAUUGACGCUGAGGCGCGAAAGCCAGGGGAGCAAACGGG